ACACCUCAACUCCCGUGGUUCGCCACGGUGAGCUUGGACUCUGGGGGUUUUGCUGGCCUGUGGUCGGCUCCUCUCAAAUGAAUUAGCCUGCCAGUGUUUGGUGGCGUCACGGGUGUGAUAAAUAUCUACGCUUGCGAUUGCCCACCAGGUAACCUUCAGCGAUGGGGGUUCGCUGGGGCUCAUAGACGUCUCUCCUCGGUGAGGACAGCUUUGAAC
Molecule: unclassified non-coding RNA, 216 nt
Filed under: uncultured Tomentella
Lineage: Eukaryota; Fungi; Basidiomycota; Agaricomycetes; Thelephorales; Thelephoraceae
Description: sequence contains ITS2
Source: RNAcentral